Molecule: ribosomal RNA, 254 nt
Filed under: uncultured bacterium
Lineage: Bacteria
Description: partial 16S ribosomal RNA
Rfam family: Bacterial small subunit ribosomal RNA
Source: RNAcentral
UACAGAGGGUGCGAGCGUUAAUCGGAAUUACUGGGCGUAAAGCGUGCGCAGAUGGUUAUGUAAGUCGGGUGUGAAAGCCCCGGGCUCAACCUGGGAAUUGCAUUCGAGACUGCAUGGCUAGGGUGCGGAAGAGGGAAGCGGAAUUUCCGGUGUAGCGGUGAAAUGCGUAGAUAUCGGAAGGAACACCAGUGGCGAAAGCGGCGAUCUGGGAAGAUACUGGACGCUGAGGAGCGAAAGUGUGGGGAGCGAACAGG